RNAcentral lists this ribosomal RNA (346 nucleotides) under uncultured bacterium. RNAcentral describes it as "bacterial SSU rRNA". It matches the Rfam family "Bacterial small subunit ribosomal RNA", at positions 8 to 349 of the family's 1533-position model. The record is from RNAcentral.
AGAGUUUGAUCAUGGCUCAGGAUGAACGCUAGCUACAGGCUUAACACAUGCAAGUCGAGGGGCAGCAUGUUGGUUGCUUGCAACCAACGAUGGCGACCGGCGCACGGGUGAGUAACGCGUAUCCAACCUACCCUUGUCCAUCGGAUAACCCGUCGAAAGGCGGCCUAACACGAUAUGCGGUUCACAGCAGGCAUCUAACGUGAACGAAAUGUGAAGGAGAAGGAUGGGGAUGCGUCUGAUUAGCUUGGUUGGCGGGGUAACGGCCACAAGGCUACGAUCAGUAGGGUUCUGAGAGGAAGGUCCCCCANAUUGGAACUGAGACACGGUCCAAACUCCUACGGGAGCA